This 441-nucleotide ribosomal RNA is filed under the name uncultured bacterium. RNAcentral describes it as "partial 16S ribosomal RNA". It matches the Rfam family "Bacterial small subunit ribosomal RNA", at positions 338 to 795 of the family's 1533-position model. The record is from RNAcentral.
CCUACGGGAGGCAGCAGUGGGGAAUAUUGCACAAUGGGGGGAACCCUGAUGCAGCGACGCCGCGUGGGUGAAGGAGUAUUUCGGUAUGUAAAGCCCUAUCAGCAGGGAAGAACAAUGACGGUACCUGACUAAGAAGCACCGGCUAAAUACGUGCCAGCAGCCGCGGUAAUACGUAUGGUGCAAGCGUUAUCCGGAUUUACUGGGUGUAAAGGGAGCGCAGGCGGCGCGUUAAGCCUGGUGUGAAAGUCCGCGGCCCAACCGCGGGACUGCAGUGGGAACUGGCGCGCUGGAGUGCCGGAGGGGUAGGCGGAAUGCCUAGUGUAGCGGUGAAAUGCGUAGAUAUUAGGAGGAACACCAGUGGCGAAGGCGGCCUACUGGACGGUGACUGACGCUGAGGCUCGAAAGCGUGGGGAGCAAACAGGAUUAGAUACCCUUGUAGUC